AGGGCGCGUAGGCGGGUUUGUAAGUCGAUUGUGAAAUCCCCGAGCUUAACUCGGGAACUGCAGUCGAAACUGCAAAUCUUGAAUGCCUAAGAGGUUAGUGGAAUUCCUGGUGUAGGAGUGAAAUCCGUAGAUAUCAGGAGGAACACCGGAGGCGAAGGCGGCUAACUGGUGGUGCAUUGACGCUGAAGCGCGAAAGCGUGGGGAGCAAACAGGAUUAGAUACCCUGGUAGUCCACGCUGUAAACGAUGAAUACUAGGUGUUUGGGGAAUUAACCCCCUGAGUACUGAAGCUAACGCAUUAAGUAUUCCGCCUGGGGAGUACGGUCGCAAGGUUAAAACUCAAAAGGAAUUGACGGGGACCCGCACAAGCGGUGGAUGAUGUGGAUUAAUUCGAUGCAACGCGG
This 403-nucleotide ribosomal RNA is filed under the name uncultured bacterium. Its description in RNAcentral is "bacterial SSU rRNA". It matches the Rfam family "Bacterial small subunit ribosomal RNA", at positions 564 to 964 of the family's 1533-position model. The record is from RNAcentral.